Molecule: long non-coding RNA, 760 nt
Organism: Hylaeus volcanicus
Lineage: Eukaryota; Metazoa; Arthropoda; Insecta; Hymenoptera; Colletidae
Exons: 4
Source: RefSeq, a predicted model, not a curated record
AAAUAGUGAUAUUCGUACCAUAUAAGGAGCACACGACUUUUCUCUUGAUUGAAUCAAUCGUAAAUUCAUUAAUUGCUGACGUAAUUCAGCUUGUUUUUGUUCUAUAUCCUUCGAAUCAGGCGUUAAUAAAGCCAGUGGAGGAUUGGUAGCAAUGAACUUUUGUUGACCUUUCAAAAAGUUCCGUCCUUGAGCUGUUAAUUUAAUAGCAAGAUAAUGAUUUUGACCCUUAGCUCCUCUCGCUCCUUGAACAAGCUACAGAAAGAAGAUAAUUAAGAAAUUUUUUCCACCACUCAAACGAUUUACAUGAACCUUUACCGAAAACAGAAGUCUUUUACAUUCAAAGCCAGAAAACAUCAAAUAGGUGAAACGCACAAUUGAAAUGAUUGUUAUUACCUUUUCAAGAUGUCGACUUAGUAUAUCCUUGCUUCUACUACCAGUUGCAACUUUACAGGGAAGUGCUACACCCGUUCUCUCUUUACAUGCUAAAAUACAGUUCAUAAUAAUUUGAGCUUCUUCCCUGUGAGUAUAAAAUUAUGCAUGAAAUCAGGUGACAUAUUGUUCCUACGUAAAAUCGAGGCUAACAAUUUGAAGAUUCUUUUCUGACGGAUCUUUACAACAAUAUUGUAGAAAGACGUUUAAGAUUAUUCAUUGAUUUCAAAGCAACGUACAAGGCAACUUUCGCACAGACUCCUAAUGUUACGACAGAUUUUUCUAGAACAUCAGGAACUGUAUCUCCAAAAUAAUUUAGUAAAAAUUCUCG